Molecule: small nuclear RNA, 283 nt
Filed under: Octodon degus (degu)
Lineage: Eukaryota; Metazoa; Chordata; Mammalia; Rodentia; Octodontidae
Description: 7SK RNA (ENSODEG00000024092.1)
Rfam family: 7SK RNA
About the family: 7SK was discovered as an abundant small nuclear RNA in the mid-70s but a possible function has only recently been suggested.
Source: Rfam by way of RNAcentral
GGAUGCGAGGGUGAUCUGGCUGUGAGACCCGUCGGCCCGCUGAUCCCCAGCAUUGAUUCAGCUGAUCUGGCUGGCUUGGGGGAUGUAGCCAUCCUUCCUCAGUGCUCCGCGUGCAUCCCUCCCCAAGCUGCUCGCUGGGUGGAAGAGGACGAGCACCCCAGCCCUAGAGUAGAAUCACUCCUCUGAGAAAGGAUAUGAGUAGCUGUGCUCCCCUGCCUGAAACUCCAAACAAGCUCUCAAAAUUCCUCUCACAUCUUGAAUUUUUCACAAACUAUUAUUAUUA